This 274-nucleotide ribosomal RNA is filed under the name uncultured bacterium. RNAcentral describes it as "partial 16S ribosomal RNA". It matches the Rfam family "Bacterial small subunit ribosomal RNA", at positions 523 to 796 of the family's 1533-position model. The record is from RNAcentral.
CUACGGAGGGUGCAAGCGUUAUCCGGAAUCAUUGGGUUUAAAGGGUCCGCAGGCGGUCAAUUAAGUCAGAGGUGAAAGCCCAUCGCUCAACGAUGGAACUGCCUUUGAUACUGGUUGACUUGAGUUAUACGGAAGUAGAUAGAAUAAGUAGUGUAGCGGUGAAAUGCAUAGAUAUUACUUAGAAUACCGAUUGCGAAGGCAGUCUACUACGUAUAUACUGACGCUGAGGGACGAAAGCGUGGGGAGCGAACAGGAUUAGAAACCCCGGUAGUCC